GAUGAACGCUGGCGGCGUGCCUAAUACAUGCAAGUCGAACGAACAGAUUAGAAUCUUUCUCCUCGGACGUUAUCGGCUGACGUGGUAGUAACACGGGGAUAAACUACCUAUAAGACUGGGAUAACUUCGGGAAACCGGAGCGAAUACCGAAUAAUAUAUUGAAUCGUAUGGUUAAAUAGUAUAAUACGAUUUUCCUGUCACUUUUACAUUAAUACGAGCUGCAUUAGCUAGUUGUUAAGGUAACGGCUUACAAAGGCAACGAUGGGUAGCCGCCCUGGGAGGGUGCUCGGCCACACUGGAAUUGAGAAACGGUCGAGACUCCUGCGGGAGGCAGCAGUAGGGAAUCUUCCGCGAUGGGAGAAAGCCUGACGGAGCAACGACGCGUGAGUGAUGAAGGUCUUCGGAUCGUAAAACUCAGUUAUUCGGGAAGAACAAAUGUGUAAGUAAAUAUGAACGUCUUGACGGUACCUAAUCAGAAAGGAACGGCUAACUACGUG
RNAcentral lists this ribosomal RNA (497 nucleotides) under uncultured bacterium. Its description in RNAcentral is "partial 16S ribosomal RNA". It matches the Rfam family "Bacterial small subunit ribosomal RNA", at positions 28 to 507 of the family's 1533-position model. The record is from RNAcentral.